This 254-nucleotide ribosomal RNA is filed under the name uncultured bacterium. RNAcentral describes it as "partial 16S ribosomal RNA". It matches the Rfam family "Bacterial small subunit ribosomal RNA", at positions 524 to 776 of the family's 1533-position model. The record is from RNAcentral.
UACGUAGGGGGCGAGCGUUGUCCGGAUUUAUUGGGCGUAAAGAGCUCGUAGGCGGUUUGGUAAGUUGGAUGUGAAAUCUCCAGGCUCAACUUGGAGGGGUCAUUCGAUACUGCCAUGACUAGAGUUCGGUAGGGGAGUGUGGAAUUCCUGGUGGAGCGGUGAAAUGCGCAGAUAUCAGGAGGAACACCGAUGGCGAAGGCAGGUCUCUGGGCCACUACUGACGCUGAGAAGCGAAAGCAUGGGGAGCGAACAGG